This 464-nucleotide ribosomal RNA is filed under the name Vreelandella stevensii. RNAcentral describes it as "partial 16S ribosomal RNA". It matches the Rfam family "Bacterial small subunit ribosomal RNA", at positions 338 to 795 of the family's 1533-position model. Lineage: Bacteria; Pseudomonadati; Pseudomonadota; Gammaproteobacteria; Oceanospirillales; Halomonadaceae. The record is from RNAcentral.
CCUACGGGAGCUGCAGUGGGGAAUAUUGGACAAUGGGCGAAAGCCUGAUCCAGCCAUGCCGCGUGUGUGAAGAAGGCCUUCGGGUUGUAAAGCACUUUCAGUGAGGAAGAAAGCCUUGGGGCUAAUACCCUCGAGGAAGGACAUCACCCACAGAAGAAGCACCGGCUAACUCCGUGCCAGCAGCCGCGGUAAUACGGAGGGGGCGAGCGUUAAUCGGAAUUACUGGGCGUAAAGCGCGCGUAGGCGGUCUGAUAAGCCGGUUGUGAAAGCCCCGGGCUCAACCUGGGAACGGCAUCCGGAACUGUCAGGCUAGAGUGCAGGAGAGGAAGGUAGAAUUCCCGGUGUAGCGGUGAAAUGCGUAGAGAUCGGGAGGAAUACCAGUGGCGAAGGCGGCCUUCUGGACUGACACUGACGCUGAGGUGCGAAAGCGUGGGUAGCAAACAGGAUUAGAUACCCCGGUAGUC